UACGUAGGUAGCGAGCGUUGUUCGGAGUUACUGGGCGUAAAGGGUGCGUAGGCGGUUGUUUAAGUUUGGUGUGAAAUCUCCCGGCUCAACUGGGAGGGUGCGCCGAAUACUGAAUGACUAGAGUGCGGGAGAGGAUAGUGGAAUACCUGGUGUAGCGGUGAAAUGCGUAGAUAUCAGGAGGAACACCGGUGGUGUAGACGGCUAUCUGGACCGUAACUGACGCUGAGGCACGAAAGCGUGGGUAGCAAACAGG
Molecule: ribosomal RNA, 253 nt
Filed under: uncultured bacterium
Lineage: Bacteria
Description: partial 16S ribosomal RNA
Rfam family: Bacterial small subunit ribosomal RNA
Source: RNAcentral